This 418-nucleotide ribosomal RNA is filed under the name uncultured bacterium. Its description in RNAcentral is "bacterial SSU rRNA". It matches the Rfam family "Bacterial small subunit ribosomal RNA", at positions 356 to 772 of the family's 1533-position model. The record is from RNAcentral.
AGGGAAUAUUGGACAAUGGGUGCAAGCCUGAUCCAGCCAUGCCGCGUGCAGGAAGAAGGCCUUCUGGGUUGUAAACUGCUUUUGCCAGGGGAUAAAAAGCCCAUGCGUGGGAAAUUGAAGGUACCUGGUGAAUAAGCCACGGCUAACUACGUGCCAGCAGCCGCGGUAAUACGUAGGUGGCAAGCGUUGUCCGGAUUUAUUGGGUUUAAAGGGUGCGUAGGUGGUCUAUUAAGUCAGUGCUGAAAUAUCCCGGCUUAACCGGGAGGGUGGCAUUGAUACUGAUGGACUUGAGUGGAGUUGAGGUAGGCGGAAUUGACGGUGUAGCGGUGAAAUGCUUAGAUAUCGUCAAGAACACCGAUAGCGAAGGCAGCUUACCAAGCUCUAACUGACACUGAUGCACGAAAGUGUGGGGAUCAAA